AUGGCCUGCGCUCCCAUCCUCCUCACUCUUUUUGCUCACUGCACAGGGAGGUGGGCCGAGGUUGUGUUCACUCAGCCUCAUUCUGUGUCGGGGUCUCCGGGGCAGAAGGUCAUCAUCUCUUGCACCCGCAGCAGCGGCAACGUUGGGGAUAACUAUGUGAGCUGGUACCAGCAGCGCCCGGGCAGUGCCCCCACCGCUGUGAUCUACGAUGAUGACCAAAGACCCUCUGGAGUCCCCGAUCGGUUCUCUGGCUCCAUCGACAGCUCCUCCAACUCCGCCUCCCUGAUCAUCUCUGGGCUGCAGCCUGACGACGACGCCGACUACCACUGUCUGUCUGGUUAUGACAACUAUUAUUACACAAUGCUCUAG
Molecule: non-coding RNA, 369 nt
Organism: Propithecus coquereli (Coquerel's sifaka)
Lineage: Eukaryota; Metazoa; Chordata; Mammalia; Primates; Indriidae
Source: the annotation of a RefSeq genome assembly